GAUGAACGCUAGCUAUAGGCUUAACACAUGCAAGUCGAGGGGAAACGGCAUUAUGUGCUUGCACAUUCUGGACGUCGACCGGCGCACGGGUGAGUAUCGCGUAUCCAACCUUCCCUCCACUCGGGGAUACCCCGUUGAAAGACGGCCUAAUACCCGAUGUUGUCCACAGAUGGCAUCUGACGUGGACCAAAGAUUCAUCGGUGGAGGAUGGGGAUGCGUCUGAUUAGCUUGUUGGUGCGGGUAACGGCCCACCAAGGCGACGAUCAGUAGGGGUUCUGAGAGGAAGGUCCCCCACAUUGGAACUGAGACACGGUCCAAACUCCUACGGGAGGCAGCAGUGAGGAAUAUUGGUCAAUGGACGCAAGUCUGAACCAGCCAAGUAGCGUGCAGGAUUGACGGCCCUAUGGGUUGUAAACUGCUUUUGUUGGGGAGUAAAGUGAGGCACGUGUGCCUUUUUGCAUUUACCCUUCGAAUAAGGACCGGCUAAUUCCGUGCCAGCAGCCGCGGUAAUACGGAAGGUCCAGGCGUUAUCCGGAUUUAUUGGGUUUAAAGGGAGUGUAGGCGGUCUGUUAAGCGUGUUGUGAAAUUUAGGUGCUCAACAUCUACCUUGCAGCGCGAACUGGCGGACUUGAGUGCACGCAACGUAUGCGGAAUUCAUGGUGUAGCGGUGAAAUGCUUAGAUAUCAUGACGAACUCCGAUUGCGAGGGCAGCGUACGGGAGUGUUACUGACGCUUAAGCUCGAAGGUGCGGGUAUCGAACAGG
Molecule: ribosomal RNA, 763 nt
Filed under: uncultured Prevotella sp.
Lineage: Bacteria; Pseudomonadati; Bacteroidota; Bacteroidia; Bacteroidales; Prevotellaceae
Description: bacterial SSU rRNA
Rfam family: Bacterial small subunit ribosomal RNA
Source: RNAcentral